GUCCAGGUGGUGAAAUCGGUAGACACAAGGGAUUUAAAAUCCCUCGGCCUUAAGGCUGUGCGGGUUCAAGUCCCGCCCUGGGCACCA
This 87-nucleotide transfer RNA is filed under the name Arsenophonus endosymbiont of Aphis craccivora. RNAcentral describes it as "tRNA-Leu". It matches the Rfam family "tRNA". From Rfam's summary of the family: Transfer RNA (tRNA) molecules are approximately 80 nucleotides in length. The record is from RNAcentral. Lineage: Bacteria; Pseudomonadati; Pseudomonadota; Gammaproteobacteria; Enterobacterales; Morganellaceae.